This is a long non-coding RNA of Oncorhynchus keta (chum salmon), 2044 nucleotides long. RefSeq lists it as uncharacterized. The transcript has 7 exons. NCBI's taxonomy places the organism in Eukaryota, Metazoa, Chordata, Actinopteri, Salmoniformes, Salmonidae. The record is from RefSeq and is a predicted model, not a curated record.
AUUUUCAGCAAACUGCAGCAAUUAAACUACAGAAAUAACCACUUUUCCAUAAAAAACAAGGUCUAAAUCAUGUUUGAUGCACUCUGGAUACAAUGUUUUCAACAUAACUGUUCAAACUAGACGAUAUAGGGACCAUUUUCAGCAAACUGCAGCAAUUAAACUACAGAAAUAACCACUUUUCAAUAAAAAACAAGGUCUAAAUCAUGUUUGAUGCACUCUGGAUACAAUGUUUUCAACAUAACUGUUCAAACUAGACGACAGGGACCAUUUUCAGCAAACUGCAGCAAUUAAACUACAGAAAUAACCACUUUUCCAUAAAAAACAAGGUCUAAAUCAUGUUUGAUGCACUCUGGAUACAAUGUUUUCAACAUAACUGUUCAAACUAGACGAUAGGGACCAUUUUCAGCAAACUGCAGCAAUUAAACUACAGAAAUCACCACUUUUCCAUAAAACAAGGUCUAAAUCAUGUUUGAUGCACUCUGGAUACAAUGUUUUCAACAUAACUGUUCAAACUAGACGAUAUAGGGACCAUUUUCAGCAAACUGCAGCAAUUAAACUACAGAAAUAACCACUUUUCAAUAAAAAACAAGGUCUAAAUCAUGUUUGAUGCACUCUGGAUACAAUGUUUUCAACAUAACUGUUCAAACUAGACGAUAUAGGGACCAUUUUCAGCAAACUGCAGCAAUUAAACUACAGAAAUAACCACUUUUCCAUAAAACAGGGUCUAAAUCAUGUUUGAUGCACUCUGGAUACAAUGUUUUCAACAUAACUGUUCAAACUAGACGAUAGGGACCAUUUUCAGCAAACUGCAGCAAUUAAACUACAGAAAUAACCACUUUUCCAUAAAAAACAAGGUCUAAAUCAUGUUUGAUGCACUCUGGAUACAAUGUUUUCAACAUAACUGUUCAAACUAGACGAUAGGGACCAUUUUCAGCAAACUGCAGCAAUUAAACUACAGAAAUAACCACUUUUCCAUAAAAAACAAGGUCUAAAUCAUGUUUGAUGCACUCUGGAUACAAUGUUUUCAACAUAACUGUUCAAACUAGACGAUAUAGGGACCAUUUUCAGCAAACUGCAGCAAUUAAACUAGAGAAAUAACCACUUUUCCAUAAAAAACAAGGUCUAAAUCAUGUUUGAUGCACUCUGGAUACAAUGUUUUCAACAUAACUGUUCAAACUAGACGAUAUAGGGACCAUUUUCAGCAAACUGCAGCAAUUAAACUACAGAAAUAACCACUUUUCCAUAAAAAACAAGGUCUAAAUCAUGUUUGAUGCACUCUGGAUACAAUGUUUUCAACAUAACUGUUCAAACUAGACGAUAUAGGGACCAUUUUCAGCAAACUGCAGCAAUUAAACUACAGAAAUAACCACUUUUCAAUAAAAAACAAGGUCUAAAUCAUGUUUGAUGCACUCUGGAUACAAUGUUUUCAACAUAACUGUUCAAACUAGACGAUAGGGACCAUUUUCAGCAAACUGCAGCAAUUAAACUACAGAAAUAACCACUUUUCCAUAAAAAACAAGGUCUAAAUCAUGUUUGAUGCACUCUGGAUACAAUGUUUUCAACAUAACUGUUCAAACUAGACGAUAUAGGGACCAUUUUCAGCAAACUGCAGCAAUUAAACUACAGAAAUCACCACUUUUCCAUAAAAAACAAGGUCUAAAUCAUGUUUGAUGCACUCUGGAUACAAUGUUUUCAACAUAACUGUUCAAACUAGACGAUAUAGGGACCAUUUUCAGCAAACUGCAGCAAUUAAACUAGAGAAAUAACCACUUUUCCAUAAAAAACAAGGUCUAAAUCAUGUUUGAUGCACUCUGGAUACAAUGUUUUCAACAUAACUGUUCAAACUAGACGAUAUAGGGACCAUUUUCAGCAAACUGCAGCAAUUAAACUACAGAAAUAACCACUUUUCCAUAAAAAACAAGGUCUAAAUCAUGUUUGAUGCACUCUGGAUACAAUGUUUUCAACAUAACUGUUCAAACUAGACGAUAGGGACCAUUUUCAGCAAACUGCAGCAAUUAAACUACAGAAAUAACCACUUUUCCAU